RNAcentral lists this ribosomal RNA (1686 nucleotides) under Triticum aestivum (bread wheat). RNAcentral's name for it is "partial small subunit ribosomal RNA". Lineage: Eukaryota; Viridiplantae; Streptophyta; Magnoliopsida; Poales; Poaceae. The record is from RNAcentral.
AUGUACAAAUCCCAGUCAUCAGCGCUCUCCUCGAUUCUUCCCACAACCAGACUAGGGUUUCUCACCGGCGGCGGGAUGGGCGGCGACGCGACGGAGAUUGCCAUCCUCGAGCGCCAUGGGCCCCAGGAGAUGGCCUCGCUGCCGAUCCCCGACGAGCUCCUGCCUGAAAUCUUCCUCCGCCUGCCCACCCCAGCCGACCUCGUCCGCACCUCCGCCGCCUGCGUCUCCUUCCGCCGCGUCGUCGCCGACCGCCCCUUCCUCCGGAGGUACCGCAAGAUCCACGCCCCGCCCCUCCUCGGCUUCCUCGACCUGAACGGAGUCUUCCACCCAGCCGAGCCGCCUCACCCCUUCACCUCGGCAGCAGAAGCCUUCGCCGACUUCAGCUUAUCCUUCCUCCCUGCCCCAGCCAGCGACUGGGCCAUUCAAGCCAUCCGCGACGGCCGCGUCCUACUUGGCAGGCGCGGCGUCUUCUCGGAGUUUGUGGUAUGUGAUCCCUUGCACCGGCGGCACAUCCUGCUUCCCCCAAUCCCUCAUGUCAACGACUGGCCGCUUCCUUCAGACAACUCACAGAUGUUCCUCAUGGGCGGCAAUGAGGAUUCGUCGGACGAAACAUUUUUCAGAGUGAUAUAUGUGGCAGUGGCAGUCGACCUACAUAAGCAGGCCGCCUUGGUCUUCUCUUCCAGCACCGGACAAUGGCGAGCUACUCCAUCAAUAGAGCGAUCACCUAACUCAUACUGGCUCCAGUGUGCGUAUGGCUGCUUGUAUGGGUUGACAGAGAGAGACCUCCCGCUCAAAGCCAGAUCCGGAGGUUCCAUCUCUUCUUAUGUGCAAAUAGCCAUUGUGGAGGCAGGGGAGGGCGUCAUUGGGAUGUUUGUGCUACCAUAUAAUACACAUGACCUCAGUUAUUUCAUUAAGAGAAACAACGGUGGAAGUUCCAGCCACUGGCAGUUGGAGAAGACAAUCUCAUUGGAUUCUUCUCACUACUCUCUAAACAAGCAUUCAACAGGGAGGAAAUUGUUCCUAUACCAUCGCGGAAGCCCAUCGCUUGAUGCCGGCCUUUUCUCAAUGGACGUCAAGACAUUCCAGCUUGAGAUGGUGUUUGCCUGCAAAUAUGGCAUGCUUAACCCACGGGCAUAUUACAACUUUCCACCAUUCUUGUCGACUCCAAUAGUAUCAAGUGGUACUCAGGAACAAGGUGUGGAGACGCCACAAGCUGAAGAUGAGCCCAUAGAUAGCCCUCAGUACGAGAGCACUGUUGAUGAGGCAAAUGUUGGAAGGCCGGCCGAUGUAUCGAGGACUGGAGAUGAUAAGGUAGCAAGAGCAGUAAUGACCUUUAAUUUCUGGCACAAUCAGUUGGUUAAUUGGACCAUAGAAGUCACUUUCAGUUUUGUUUCUGCUUUGUCAAAAAUAAUUGGUGGCCAGUCAAGUAGGAGUUACCUCGUCCAUAUUUCUUUUGAUGGAUGUGAUCGUGAGCUUCUACGCGGCGACCAUGGACGCGGUGAAGCACGGGAGCGAGCCGUCGCGGCCACGAACGACAUACCGGAGGUAGCAGCAACUCGCGCACCGUGGUCGUCCAGCGUGCCGGCGAAGUUCUCGUGCACUAUCAAGAACGCGCGCGCCAGGAUCUUCCGGGAGGCAGAAGCCCACGACCAGCCCUUUUGUUGUUUUGCCUUAGCGAUUUUUUAG